UGAACGCUAGCGGCAGGCUUAACACAUGCAAGUCGAGGGGCAUCGAGAGUAGCAAUACUUGUCGGCGACCGGCGCAAGGGUGCGUAACACGUGAGCAACAUACCCGUUUCAGGAGGAUAACCGGAGGAAACUCUGCCUAAUACUCCAUGACAUCAUCAAACGGCAUCGUUUGAUGAUUAAAGAUUUAUCAGAAACGGCUUGGCUCGCGGGACAUUAGCUUGUUGGUGAGGUAACGGCUCACCAAGGCUACGAUGUCUAGGGGUUCUGAGAGGAAGGUCCCCCACACUGGAACUGAGACACGGUCCAGACUCCUACGGGAGGCAGCAGUGAGGAAUAUUGGACAAUGGUCGGAAGACUGAUCCAGCCAUGCCGCGUGAAGGUUACUGUCCUAUGGAUAUUAAACUUCUUUUGUAUGAGAGCAAUAAGGUGCACGCGUGCACCGAUGAGAGUAUCAUACGAAUAAGCAUCGGCUAACUCCGUG
This 481-nucleotide ribosomal RNA is filed under the name uncultured bacterium. RNAcentral's name for it is "bacterial SSU rRNA". It matches the Rfam family "Bacterial small subunit ribosomal RNA", at positions 30 to 507 of the family's 1533-position model. The record is from RNAcentral.